AGCGUACACGGUGGAUGCCCUGGCAGUCAGAGGCGAUGAAGGGCGUGCUAAUCUGCGAUAAGCGCCGGUAAGGUGAUAUGAACCGUUAUAACCGGCGAUACCCGAAUGGGGAAACCCAGUGUGACUCGUCACACUAUCAUUAACUGAAUCCAUAGGUUAAUGAGGCGAACCGGGGGAACUGAAACAUCUAAGUACCCCGAGGAAAAGAAAUCAACCGAGAUUCCCCCAGUAGCGGCGAGCGAACGGGGAGGAGCCCAGAGCCUGAAUCAGCAUGUGUGUUAGUGGAAGCGUCUGGAAAGGCGCGCGAUACAGGGUGACAGCCCCGUACACAAAAGCGCAUGUGCUGUGAGCUCGAUGAGUAGGGCGGGACACGUGGUAUCCUGUCUGAAUAUGGGGGGACCAUCCUCCAAGGCUAAAUACUCCUGACUGACCGAUAGUGAACCAGUACCGUGAGGGAAAGGCGAAAAGAACCCCGGCGAGGGGAGUGAAAAAGAACCUGAAACCGUGUACGUACAAGCAGUGGGAGCACCCUUUGGGUGUGACUGCGUACCUUUUGUAUAAUGGGUCAGCGACUUAUAUUCUGUAGCAAGGUUAACCGAAUAGGGGAGCCGGAGGGAAACCGAGUCUUAACCGGGCGUUAAGUUGCAGGGUAUAGACCCGAAACCCGGUGAUCUAGCCAUGGGCAGGUUGAAGGUUGGGUAACACUAACUGGAGGACCGAACCGACUAAUGUUGAAAAAUUAGCGGAUGACCUGUGGCUGGGGGUGAAAGGCCAAUCAAACCGGGAGAUAGCUGGUUCUCCCCGAAAGCUAUUUAGGUAGCGCCUCGUGAAUUCAUCUCCGGGGGUAGAGCACUGUUUCGGCUAGGGGGCCAUCCCGGCUUACCAACCCGAUGCAAACUGCGAAUACCGGAGAAUGUUAUCACGGGAGACACACGGCGGGUGCUAACGUCCGUCGUGAAGAGGGAAACAACCCAGACCGCCAGCUAAGGUCCCAAAGUCAUGGUUAAGUGGGAAACGAUGUGGGAAGGCCCAGACAGCCAGGAUGUUGGCUUAGAAGCAGCCAUCAUUUAAAGAAAGCGUAAUAGCUCACUGGUCGAGUCGGCCUGCGCGGAAGAUGUAACGGGGCUAAACCAUGCACCGAAGCUGCGGCAGCGACACUGUGUGUUGUUGGGUAGGGGAGCGUUCUGUAAGCCUGUGAAGGUGUGUCGUGAGGCAUGCUGGAGGUAUCAGAAGUGCGAAUGCUGACAUAAGUAACGAUAAAGCGGGUGAAAAGCCCGCUCGCCGGAAGACCAAGGGUUCCUGUCCAACGUUAAUCGGGGCAGGGUGAGUCGACCCCUAAGGCGAGGCCGAAAGGCGUAGUCGAUGGGAAACGGGUUAAUAUUCCCGUACUUGGUGUUACUGCGAAGGGGGGACGGAGAAGGCUAUGUUGGCCGGGCGACGGUUGUCCCGGUUUAAGCGUGUAGGUGUGUGUUCCAGGUAAAUCCGGUUCACUUUAACACUGAGGCGUGACGACGAGGCACUACGGUGCUGAAGCAACAAAUGCCCUGCUUCCAGGAAAAGCCUCUAAGCAUCAGGUAACAUCAAAUCGUACCCCAAACCGACACAGGUGGUCAGGUAGAGAAUACCAAGGCGCUUGAGAGAACUCGGGUGAAGGAACUAGGCAAAAUGGUGCCGUAACUUCGGGAGAAGGCACGCUGACACGUAGGUGAAGUGAUUUACUCAUGGAGCUGAAGUCAGUCGAAGAUACCAGCUGGCUGCAACUGUUUAUUAAAAACACAGCACUGUGCAAACACGAAAGUGGACGUAUACGGUGUGACGCCUGCCCGGUGCCGGAAGGUUAAUUGAUGGGGUCAGCGCAAGCGAAGCUCCUGAUCGAAGCCCCGGUAAACGGCGGCCGUAACUAUAACGGUCCUAAGGUAGCGAAAUUCCUUGUCGGGUAAGUUCCGACCUGCACGAAUGGCGUAAUGAUGGCCAGGCUGUCUCCACCCGAGACUCAGUGAAAUUGAACUCGCUGUGAAGAUGCAGUGUACCCGCGGCAAGACGGAAAGACCCCGUGAACCUUUACUAUAGCUUGACACUGAACAUUGAGCCUUGAUGUGUAGGAUAGGUGGGAGGCUUUGAAGUGUGGACGCCAGUCUGCAUGGAGCCGACCUUGAAAUACCACCCUUUAAUGUUUGAUGUUCUAACGUGGACCCGUUACCCGGGUUGCGGACAGUGUCUGGUGGGUAGUUUGACUGGGGCGGUCUCCUCCUAAAGAGUAACGGAGGAGCACGAAGGUUGGCUAAUCCUGGUCGGACAUCAGGAGGUUAGUGCAAUGGCAUAAGCCAGCUUGACUGCGAGCGUGACGGCGCGAGCAGGUGCGAAAGCAGGUCAUAGUGAUCCGGUGGUUCUGAAUGGAAGGGCCAUCGCUCAACGGAUAAAAGGUACUCCGGGGAUAACAGGCUGAUACCGCCCAAGAGUUCAUAUCGACGGCGGUGUUUGGCACCUCGAUGUCGGCUCAUCACAUCCUGGGGCUGAAGUAGGUCCCAAGGGUAUGGCUGUUCGCCAUUUAAAGUGGUACGCGAGCUGGGUUUAGAACGUCGUGAGACAGUUCGGUCCCUAUCUGCCGUGGGCGCUGGAGAACUGAGGGGGGCUGCUCCUAGUACGAGAGGACCGGAGUGGACGCAUCACUGGUGUUCGGGUUGUCAUGCCAAUGGCACUGCCCGGUAGCUAAAUGCGGAAGAGAUAAGUGCUGAAAGCAUCUAAGCACGAAACUUGCCCCGAGAUGAGUUCU
Molecule: ribosomal RNA, 2773 nt
Filed under: Salmonella enterica
Lineage: Bacteria; Pseudomonadati; Pseudomonadota; Gammaproteobacteria; Enterobacterales; Enterobacteriaceae
Also listed under: 1 other name
Description: bacterial LSU rRNA
Rfam family: Bacterial large subunit ribosomal RNA
Source: RNAcentral